GUCCACACCGUAACGAUGGAUACUAGGUGUAGGAGAUAUUAAGUCUUCUGUGCCGUCGCAAACGCAGUAAGUAUCCCACCUGGGGAGUACGGCCGCAAGGUUGAACUCAAAGGAAUUGACGGGGCCCGGCACAAGCAGUGGAGUAUGUGGUUUAAUUUCGAAGCAACGCGAAGAACCUUACCAGGGCUUGACAUAUACAGGAAUACUUAAGAGAUUAAGUAGCUCUUCGGAGUCUGUAUACAGGUGGUGCAUGGUUGUCGU
This 261-nucleotide ribosomal RNA is filed under the name uncultured bacterium. Its description in RNAcentral is "partial 16S ribosomal RNA". It matches the Rfam family "Bacterial small subunit ribosomal RNA", at positions 793 to 1055 of the family's 1533-position model. The record is from RNAcentral.